UUCGGCCAUAGUGGCGCACGGGUGAGUAACGCGUGGGAACCUGCCCAGCAGUGGGGAAUAACUUCGGGAAACCGGGGCUAAUACCGCAUACGCCCUUAGGGGGAAAGAUUUAUUGCUGUUGGAGGGGCCCGCGUCCGAUUAGUUUGUUGGUGGGGUAAUGGCCUACCAAGACUACGAUCGGUAGCUGGUCUGAGAGGAUGAUCAGCCACACUGGGACUGAGACACGGCCCAGACUCCUACGGGAGGCAGCAGUGGGGAAUAUUGGACAAUGGGCGCAAGCCUGAUCCAGCAAUGCCGCGUGAGUGAUGAAGGCCUUAGGGUUGUAAAGCUCUUUCGGCGGGGACGAUGAUGACGGUACCCGCAGAAGAAGCCCCGGCUAACUUCGUGCCAGCAGCCGCGGUAAUACGAAGGGGGCUAGCGUUGUUCGGAAUUACUGGGCGUAAAGAGCACGUAGGCGGUUCGUUAAA
This 467-nucleotide ribosomal RNA is filed under the name uncultured Magnetospirillum sp. RNAcentral's name for it is "bacterial SSU rRNA". It matches the Rfam family "Bacterial small subunit ribosomal RNA", at positions 85 to 587 of the family's 1533-position model. Lineage: Bacteria; Pseudomonadati; Pseudomonadota; Alphaproteobacteria; Rhodospirillales; Rhodospirillaceae. The record is from RNAcentral.